UAGGGAAUAUUGCACAAUGGAGGAAACUCUGAUGCAGCCAUGCCGCGUGUGUGAAGAAGGCCUUCGGGUUGUAAAGCACUUUCGGAGGGGAGGAAGUAAAUGACGUUACCCUCAGAAGAAGCACCGGCUAACUCCGUGCCAGCAGCCGCGGUAAUACGGAGGGUGCAAGCGUUAAUCGGAAUAACUGGGCGUAAAGGGCAUGCAGGCGGUUCAUCAAGUAGGAUGUGAAAUCCCCGGGCUCAACCUGGGAACAGCAUACUAAACUGGUGGACUAGAGUAUUGCAGGGGGAGACGGAAUUCCAGGUGUAGCGGUGGAAUGCGUAGAUAUCUGGAAGAACACCAAAGGCGAAGGCAGUCUCCUGGGCAAAUACUGACGCUCAUAUGCGAAAGCGUGGGUAGCAAACAG
Molecule: ribosomal RNA, 406 nt
Filed under: uncultured bacterium
Lineage: Bacteria
Description: bacterial SSU rRNA
Rfam family: Bacterial small subunit ribosomal RNA
Source: RNAcentral